ACGCUGGCGGCGUGCCUAACACAUGCAAGUCGUACGAGAAAGUUGGCUUCGGCCGAUGAGUAAAGUGGCGCACGGGUGAGUAAUGCGUGGAUAAUCUGCCCUUUAGUUGGGAAUAACGUACCGAAAGGUGCGCUAAUACCUGAUAAUACUGCAUAACUACUGUUGUGUAGUCAAAGAAGGCCUCUGUUUACAAGCUUUUGCUGAAGGAUGAGUCCGCGUACCAUUAGCUGGUUGGUGGGGUAAUGGCCUACCAAGGCUACGAUGGUUAGCUGGUCUGAGAGGAUGAUCAGCCACACUGGUACUGAGACACGGACCAGACUCCUACGGGAGGCAGCAGUGAGGAAUAUUGGUCAAUGGGCGCAAGCCUGAACCAGCCAUCCCGCGUGCAGGAAGACGGCCCUAUGGGUUGUAAACUGCUUUUCCAGGGAGAGAAACUUACGCACGUGUUGCGUGACUGACGGUACCCUGGGAAUAAGCAUCGGCUAACUCCGUG
Molecule: ribosomal RNA, 493 nt
Filed under: uncultured bacterium
Lineage: Bacteria
Description: bacterial SSU rRNA
Rfam family: Bacterial small subunit ribosomal RNA
Source: RNAcentral